AUUGAACGCUGGCGGCAUGCUUUACACAUGCAAGUCGAACGGCAGCGCGGGCUUCGGCCUGGCGGCGAGUGGCGAACGGGUGAGUAAUGCAUCGGAACGUGCCCAGUAGUUGGGGAUAGCCCGGCGAAAGCCGGAUUAAUACCGCAUACGACCUGAGGGUGAAAGCGGGGGACCGAAAGGCCUCGCGCUAUUGGAGCGGCCGAUGUCGGAUUAGCUAGUUGGUGGGGUAAAGGCUUACCAAGGCGACGAUCCGUAGCUGGUCUGAGAGGACGACCAGCCACACUGGGACUGAGACACGGCCCAGACUCCUACGGGAGGCAGCAGUGGGGAAUUUUGGACAAUGGGGGCAACCCUGAUCCAGCCAUGCCGCGUGCGGGAAGAAGGCCUUCGGGUUGUAAACCGCUUUUGUUCGGGAAGAAAUCCUCUGGGCUAAUACCCCGGGGGGAUGACGGUACCGGAAGAAUAAGCACCGGCUAACUACGUG
Molecule: ribosomal RNA, 484 nt
Filed under: uncultured bacterium
Lineage: Bacteria
Description: partial 16S ribosomal RNA
Rfam family: Bacterial small subunit ribosomal RNA
Source: RNAcentral